RNAcentral lists this ribosomal RNA (466 nucleotides) under uncultured bacterium. Its description in RNAcentral is "partial 16S ribosomal RNA". It matches the Rfam family "Bacterial small subunit ribosomal RNA", at positions 28 to 523 of the family's 1533-position model. The record is from RNAcentral.
GAUGAACGCUGGCGGCAUUCCUAACACAUGCAAGUCGAGCGAACUCUUCGGGGUGAGCGGCGGACGGUUGAGUAACGCGUGGGUAACCUGCCCUAUACACACGGAUAACGUACCGAAAGAUACGCUAAUACGGGAUAAAGUUGUUGGAUGGCAUCUUCUAACAAUCAAAGCUCCGGCGGUAUAGGAUUGACCCGCGUCUGAUUAUCUAGUUGGUGAGGUAAUGGCUAACCAAGGCGACGAUCAGUAGACUACCUGAGAGGGUGAUAGGCCACACUGUAACUGAGACACGGUCGAGACUACUACGGGAGGAAGCAGUGGGGAAGAGUGCACAAUGGGCGAAAGCCGGAUGCAGCAACGCCGCGUGAGCGAUGAAGGUCUUCGGAUCGUAAAGCUCUGUCCUCAAGGAAGAUAAUGACGGUACUUGAGGAGGAAGCCCCGGCUAACUACGUGCCAGCCGCCGCAGUAA